Molecule: ribosomal RNA, 460 nt
Filed under: uncultured bacterium
Lineage: Bacteria
Description: partial 16S ribosomal RNA
Rfam family: Bacterial small subunit ribosomal RNA
Source: RNAcentral
CCUACGUGUGGCAGCAGUGAGGAAUAUUGGUCAAUGGGCGCGAGCCUGAACCAGCCAAGUAGCGUGAAGGAUGACUGCCCUACGGGUUGUAAACUUCUUUUAUAAAGGAGUAAAGUGAGGCACGUGUGCCUUUUUGUAUGUACUUUAUGAAUAAGGAUCGGCUAACUCCGUUCCAGCAGCCGCGGUAAUACGGAGGAUCCGAGCGUUAUCCGGAUUUAUUGGGUUUAAAGGGAGCGUAGAUGGGUUGUUAAGUCAGUUGUGAAAGUUUGUGGCUCAACCGUAAAAUUGCAAUUGAUACUGGCAGUCUUGAGUAUAGUAGAGGUAGGUGGAAUUCGUGGUGUAGCGGUGAAAUGCGUAGAGAUCAGGAAGAAUACCGAUUGCGAAGGCAGCCUACUAAACGGCCACUGACAUUGAUGCGCGAAAGCGUGGGGAUCAAACAGGAUUAGAUACCCGAGUAGUC